RNAcentral lists this ribosomal RNA (485 nucleotides) under uncultured bacterium. Its description in RNAcentral is "bacterial SSU rRNA". It matches the Rfam family "Bacterial small subunit ribosomal RNA", at positions 30 to 507 of the family's 1533-position model. The record is from RNAcentral.
AUUGAACGCUGGCGGCAGGCCUAACACAUGCAAGUCGAACGCGAAAGCUCCUUCGGGAGUGAGUAGAGUGGCGGACGGGUGAGUGACACGUAGGAAUCUACCCAGGAGUGGGGGACAACCCGGAGAAAUCCGGGCUAAUACCGCAUACGCCCUACGGGGUAAAGUGGGGGACCUUUCGGGGCCUCAUGCUUUUGGAUGAGCCUGCGUCGGAUUAGCUUGUUGGUGAGGUAACGGCUCACCAAGGCGACGAUCCGUAGCUGGUCUGAGAGGAUGACCAGCCACACUGGGACUGAGACACGGCCCAGACUCCUACGGGAGGCAGCAGUGGGGAAUAUUGGACAAUGGGGGCAACCCUGAUCCAGCCAUGCCGCGUGUGUGAAGAAGGCCUUCGGGUUGUAAAGCACUUUCAGUAGGGAAGAAAAGCUCGAGGUUAAUACCCUCGGGUCUUGACGGUACCUACAGAAGAAGCACCGGCUAAUUCCGUG